This is a long non-coding RNA of Mytilus californianus (California mussel), 578 nucleotides long. RefSeq lists it as uncharacterized. The record is from RefSeq and is a predicted model, not a curated record. Lineage: Eukaryota; Metazoa; Mollusca; Bivalvia; Mytilida; Mytilidae. The transcript has 4 exons.
AUAUAGAUUACAUUCUGAUACAAAACAGUGGCGUAAGAGUGAACUGAAAAGAAGGUUGGGACUUCUAAAAGUGGGCUCAUAUAUGCCAGUGCAAAAAUCUAUUGAUAUAGCACCAUGGUACUGUGAUAUUCUAAGGCACUGGGGAGAACAUGUAAAAGGGAAAAAUUUAUAAAAAUAUCUGACUGACUGACCCAACCAUAGGUCUGGAUUGAGGGGUCUUUAUAACCAUAGGUGAAGGUCUGGAUUGAGGGGUCUUUAUAACCAUAGGUGAAGGUCUGGAUUGAGGGGUCUUUAUAACCAUAGGUGAAGGUCUGGAUUGAGGGGUCUCUAUAACCAUAGGUGAAGGUCUGGAUGGAGGGGUCUUUAUAACCAUAGGUGAAGGUCUGGAUGGAGGGGUCUUUAUAACCAUAGGUGAAGGUCUGGAUGGAGGGGUCUUUAUAACCAUAGGUGAAGGUCUGGAUGGAGGGGUCUUUAUAACCAUAGGUGAAGGUCUGGAUUGAGGGGUCUUUAUAACCAUAGGUGAAGGUCUGGAUUGAGGAGUCUUCAUAACCAUAGGUGAAGGUCUGGAUUGAGGGGUC